CCGAGUUUACAACUCCCAAACCCCUGUGAACAUACCUACUUGUUGCCUCGGCGGAUCAGCCCGCUCCCGGUAAAACGGGACGGCCCGCCAGAGGACCCCUAAACUCUGUUUCUAUAUGUAACUUCUGAGUAAAACAAACAAUAAAUCA
RNAcentral lists this unclassified non-coding RNA (148 nucleotides) under soil metagenome. Its description in RNAcentral is "partial internal transcribed spacer 1". The record is from RNAcentral.